This 21-nucleotide non-coding RNA is filed under the name Caenorhabditis elegans. The record is from RNAcentral. Lineage: Eukaryota; Metazoa; Nematoda; Chromadorea; Rhabditida; Rhabditidae.
UCAGGAAAUAAAAUUAUAUUC